This is a long non-coding RNA of Cavia porcellus (domestic guinea pig), 12264 nucleotides long. RefSeq lists it as uncharacterized. The record is from RefSeq and is a predicted model, not a curated record. NCBI's taxonomy places the organism in Eukaryota, Metazoa, Chordata, Mammalia, Rodentia, Caviidae. The transcript has 5 exons.
CCUUUGUGUAAUAUUAAUAUCAACAUUUUUGUUUUAUAAAUAUCCAUACGUUAUAUUAAUGUACAUUCUUUAUACAAAUGUAGUGUUACCUAGAGAUACUUUUCAAGUUGUCUUUGCUUACGGAAAGCAGACACCGCCAGGCCAAAUGGAAGAACCAUGCAGAGAGAACAGAAGUCAAAUUCAGACAGACACUGACCAGCUAGAGAAUACUGCAGUAAAAACAGGAGGACUGUCAGUGAGGAAGAGGAUGCAGCAGCAGGUCGAGCCCACCCUCAAGCAUGGAUAGGAAUGCCAGGCAGGACUGCCUUGAGGAGGGUUGGUCAGUGGCCUGGGACUGGCAGCUGGCGCAGAGCGAGCAUCCUCUCACUAACAAUGCCUUUCAGUGACGAGCAGCAGUGGACGUGUGAAGUGCAGAGGCCCCGAAUCCCUCCUUCCCCUCAUAGCUCUCGUGAGUCCUGCUCAUGGCCUGGGCUGGGUUUUGGUGGCCCUGCAAACCACUGUGUGUGGAGAUCUCUUUUAAUUAGAGUGGAAGAAGGGAGCUCCUGGAUGGAGCUCAGGCUGUUCUGACUAGUGUCCUGAAAAGGGCACACUUCCAAAGUAGCCCCACAGCCCAGCAUUACAACAAAAUGCAAAGUAAGCAUUUGAAAAAUGAGUGUUUCCUCAUCCUUAAAGAUCAUUUCAUAAGAUGAAAGUGUAUUUGAAUGCAUCCUUUAUUCUGUGAACCUCUAAUCUCAAUUAAUUACUUCAUACCACAACCCAAUGAGUUGGGGAACUCUAUUUUAAGUGUUUUACAAAUAUUAACUUGUUAGUCAUUUAAGAAUGUAGUUGACACUCAUGAAUUAGUGUUUGUAAAACACAAUAAAAGGGAACAGAAAAAAAUUCGAAAUAUUAUCCCCAUUUUAUGUGGUAGGAAAAUGAGUCACAGAGAGCUUAAGAAACGUCACAGAGUUAAGAAAGAAGAUCACAGAGAUGAGAAGGAGGCUGAGAUGCACAGCUAGGCAGGCCUACUGGAGACACGAAGGCCUGGCUGUCUCCCUUUCCUGCCUCCUAAAAGAAGGACCAUCUCAUGACCAUGGUUCAUGGGGGCAAGAAUGCCAUUUUUCUUAGAUUUCCUUUUAUCUUUUGUAAAAUAAUGAGACUGAUUUUCAAAAUCUACACACUCCCUGACCAGAUUUGGAUUUACAUAAUCUUUAAAGUGAUGAAAUGUCCAUAUUAAAAUGUCAGGUUGCUCACCUGUAUUUGAUAUGGAUUCUCCAUUAAAAUGACAUAUAGGGGCUGGGGAUUUAGCUCAGUGAUGUAAGUACCUGCCUGACAAGCACAAGGUCAUGAGUUCAAUUCUCGAUAUCAAAAUAAUAAUAAUGAUAAUAAUUGAAAAUAAAGUGACAUAUAUAUCACAUACACAUCCUCAAAUGAUAAACUGCACAUGAGAGGAGACAACAGGGCAAGACAAAUGGGCCCAAUAGCAUGAUAGUCAGACCCAAGCACCUGCCAAGAAGACACUGAAGAAGGGCAGCUAAGAAGUUAGGUGGGGUUUUGAGAGACUCAUUACUCUGGUGGUGUCCUGCCCAGCAGACAGUGGGCUGUGUCAUUGUGCAGACCUUUUGGACUCCCAGUGUCUGGCCCUACCUCUUCUGCUACCUACUCUCUUCCUUUCCCGCCUGGCCUCAGCUCCCUCUCCCACUACUGCAGGAAACUAAAGAUUAAUUUUUCAGAAAAAAAAUGAAUCAAAUAUUGCCAAAAGAAUACACAUCUGAGGCUAGGGAGAGUCUACUACACUGUGUGGGAUCUGGGACCUUUGAUACCCUUCCAUAGCAGCCAAGCCUAUUACCACCUGCAGUCCCUACCAGGGAGGAUCUGAGAUCUAACAGUGAGUGUGUUUUGAAGAACUGAGCAAGCCUAAAGAAGAGACUACUGCAUACUGGACUGGGAAUGCAUUGAAAAGAACAUUUCUCCCUUGGAAACCUGCUGGUGAGUCCAUCUGUCAUCAAUCUCUGUCUCUUGGAUACAGCUCUUCAUAGGUUCACUGGGUGUGUCCCAUUUAAAUAUGAAAAGACAAACAAGAAAAACCAUCUCUAACAUGAGAGAUCAAUCAAACAAAGCAGCAAAACGUGGAAAAGGAAUGUCCUGGUGCUUAUCUUCUUAUGGUUCUAAGGACACUGUCACCAUGCCAGGAGGUUACUUAAAGUCAGGAUAACAUCUUGCUAAUAUUGGUCUAACAUUUCUUAAAUGAAGAUAUCUUUCUAUUAUGAGUUAUCUAUAUGUAAGUUUGUAAAAAUUUAAAUUAGAUUUAUUCAAAUUAACAAUAAGAUUAACUGAUUACUAUGUGAAAGUGCUAUUGUAAGUGUUUUACAAAUAUUAGCUUGUUAGUGAUUUAAGAAUGUUGUUGACACUCAUGAAUUAGUAUUUGUAAAACACAAUAAAAGGGAACAGAAAAAAAAUUCCAAAUAUUAUGUUUAAAAUUCAAAAAGAAGUCUGUAGCAGAGGAGAAGAUAAAAGAUGAAAAGAUUCUUGACAGCCGAAAACCCUCUCUACAGCAGUCUGUCUCCCCUCUGUGACAACCACCCCGACUCCCACCACUGGUCUCUCCCUUGCUGGAACCUUGCUCUGUCAGGCUUCUAGCACUAAACAAACGAGCGUUUGAUGUUAUAAAGGAAGACCUUCCCAGGAGGAAUGGUCGGUCUGUCUGUUUGUCUUUCUAUCUCUCUCUCUCUUAUAGCAAGAUGUUAUUUUGUCCCUAAGUCCCCUGGGACUGUGGCAGUCUUCUUGAAGCUGUAAGAAGUCAAGGCUAAGGACUCAACUAGUAACAUGGCAGAGAGGAAAGAGUAAUAAUGCCUGUGUCCUUGACAGCACCACUGGGCCAGUGGUUCGUCCACAGGGUCAUGGGAAGACCUGAGGGUAUGGCUUCUGGGUCAUAAGUCUGAAGUUUGGGUGGAGGAGACAGCCUUGUCAGGAAAGAGGAAGUGAUGCUGUUUGAGGUUCUGGGGAGCACAACAUUAUAUAGUUCAUUCCCUCCACAAAUAGUUGUACUGUGUUUCAGGCCUGACUAUAGGUGACAAGGAAACAACAGUGAACAAUACCUAUUCCUUACUAUACUGCAGUCUGAAUCUAAAUAGAACAAACAGAAAAUUGAAAAUAACACAAGAAAGUAUAAAAUAUGUCAAAAAGUGGAAAGCACGAUGCAAGAAAAUAAGCCUGGAGAAAUCUAAUGCACUGGAUGGAGCUGGGGCAGUGAUCAGGGAAAACAGCCUCUAAGUGGGGCCCAUCUGAGGCAAAGAUUUCAAGGACUCAAGAGACCAAACCUUGAGGGUAGAGGAAGUCAGCUACAGGAGGAGGAAAUGGGCAGGCACUGUGGCCCUUAGAGGGAAAUGUGCCCCACACAUGUGAAGAAAAGCAAAAGCAGCCAGAGAAGAGCAAGUUAUGCAAAACUAACAGAGAUGACUAGAAAAGCAAAGGAGGAAAAACACUGUGGAGUGUGGCAGGCGAUGGGUGGGCUCUGCCUUUUGCUCGGAUGAGUGGGAAGGCCUUUUGAGCAGCAAUAGAACAUGAGCUCGUACCAGACAUAGUAGGUCGGAAGCUUCAUUCCUCUGUAUCAUUUGGAGGUCUUCCACCCAGAUCACUGCACCGAGGUGAGAGUUUGAUUUUGCUUCAUAGACUCUGAAUUGGGACUCAUUUAGGUAACAAAUUAUUUGCUUCAAAUUUUGCUUUGUCUUUGCCAGUUGUUUAUAACUACUUGUGAUAAUUGCUUGCUAUUUGCCCAUUGUGUUUGAUUGCCUAAACAGUUCCCAUCCCCCUAGGGAAGAGUCACGGCUCCUUAAGAAUGCCUGCUUUCUACAUGACUCGCUUCCCCAUUUGUCCCUAAUGUUAUCAACUUUACCUGAACUAUCGAUCUUAUUGGCUAACUAUAGUUAUGUUCCACCUUAUGCCCAUCUGCCUUGUGAAUUCCCAGUCUUCCCCCACCUUGAACCCGUGGUUUUACUCGAUAAAAGUCCCUAAAAAAGAUGGAGGCCUUCACAACCCACUCGGGACCCCUUUUGUCUCUCUUCAGACAGCAGCUUUCUAUGUCUCAAUAAAUAUAUUCUACUCUUAAAAAAACAAGAAGAGCUCCAAAUCAUGCUGCCUUGUCACUUCGUUAUUUGGCAGCACGGUACCCUCCUCUCUUAGCUAAGCCAACUUGGAAUCUACAACGGGCAGCUAACUAGGCCUCCCUCUGUUUCACCAGGUCCUCUACUAGUAACUCUUCUUGGGAAAGUGGGCAGUGUGAGACAAGUGAAUCUGCUCUCCAUAAAAAUAAUUCCAAAGGCAAUUGGGGCUCUUAGAAUUUUUUCAAGCCAUAUUUGACAUCACUCAUACCUUAUUUAAUGAAAAAAGACUGUAUCAUAUUCAAUGUUAAAAUACUGUAAAUGGAAUUUUCAUUAUUAUAAUAACUAUGUGUAGCUUUCAAUUUAGAAAAGGGAAGCCUUAACCUAGGUAUGGUGGUGCACAUCUACAGCAAGUAAGUUUGAGGCCAGCCUGGACUACAUAGGAAGAUAUUGUGUUAAAAAAAAAAUAAAAAUAAAAAAGAGGGGCCCUUCAGAAGGUUCUGAGUGGAAAAGGGACAUUAUUUGGUGUCUGGUUUCAAAGGGUUGUUUGGGGUGCUGUGUUUAGGAUAGAACAGAGCUGCACGAGCAGACCCGGAGAGGUUGCUGAUGGGCCCAGAAGUGGGACCGAUGGAGAAGUGUCAGAUUCUGAAUACAUUGUAAGGUAAAACUGGGAGGAAUGAAUGGACAGUGAAAAAGAAUGAAAGAUAUUGAGGAUGACUUCAAAUUUUGGGGCAAAGACACUAAUUAGGAGAAAAUACUUUUAGAGAUAAGUGCCCAAAGUGUAACUCAACUCGCUUAGUUUAUUUCAAAGCACCAACACUGCAAUUCAAUCUGAAUACUGAGAUGAGAGUUUAGAAAAAAUAACCCAUACGUUGCCAUCUUUUGUCUUAAAAGGAAAACAAAUAUCACACAUGCCAUAGUUUUGCAACCUCUGCUCUAAGCCAUGUACCUCCACACCUACAAAAUGGGGGUCACAGUUCCUGAUUCAGUGACUCUUUAGUUUGAAAAAUUAUGCAUAAUAACAAUUCUUGUCAGUUUAUCUAGCAACUAUUUCCAUUUUCGUUUAAUGGAAUCUAAUGUUGGUUUUUAUUUUGUAAAAUACACUUUCAUAGUGAAAUAAGUGGGCUUAAAUUAUUUACUAGGCUUAUAUUUUUGUAUACUGUAUUAGAUUUUAUUAAAAUGGAUGAACCUAUAGCCACACAUUCCUGAAGAGAGAAGAAUGCUUGCUGUCACAGUGACAGCCAGAAAUUCUAGGUUUUUAGUUGAUUUAUAUUCAACUAAUAUUGAUGACAGUUUCAGUGAUACUAAAUGCUACUAUGUCAGUAGCCUUUUGAUUUGGAAUCAUUAACUGCACUAUACACAGAAUGAACUAAAAAUUUAUGUGUUGUUAGAUGACUAUUUCACGGUCACCCAAAUUGUAAAAUGAAAAUGAAGCCUUAGGUUCCCUGGCUUUAAAUGCACUAUUCUUUCUUCAUCUGUUAUGGUUUGUGUCUAAAUGUCCCCCUAAGGCUUUGGGGGGACAUAGGGGUUUUUCUUUGGAGAUGGUUGAAUCUAGAGGUGUGACUGAUUUACGGUGUAAUGCUGAGAUUAAGGGCAGGCUGGAUCCAUCCACUGACUGGAUUGGCGCCAACCUAAUCCCAGUAAACUGGACAAAUAUAAGAGACAGAAAGAGGCUUGUCUCUGUCAGCCUGUCUGUCUCCCUCCCUGCCUGCUUUUGCUGUCUUCGGUGUAUCAUGAAUUGCUGUCCUCUGUGAAAUGACCUUGUCUUGAAGCCAGCCAGUUAUGGACUGAAACAUUUACAAACUGUGAGCUAAGUAAACCUUUCCCUCAUUAAGUGGAUGUUGUGCAUUUUGUCCUAGCAGUGAGAAAAGUAACCAAGACAUCUUCCAAAGCCACCUUCUUCCUAUAGUUUGUAAAACAGAUACCCGUUGUGAAGACCGUGACUAGUUUUCAUUUGCUGAAUCCUCAACUCCCACUAUCAUUCAGCUUAUCAGAUAAGUUUAGGUAUGGAUUUCAUCAGGUUAAGUCUGCACAGAAACAGCAAUGUCAGGAAGGUCUGCCAGUGGUCCCUAAAGAGGUGUGCUUCUAAAUUGACAAUUGACUGGUACCAUUUAAGUACUAAAGGCUUCAUGGACUUGGAUCAGGAAGUGAGAUGAAACAAAGCAUAUUUUUUAACACUUCUUCUUAUGGAAGAACCCUUGAAGUUUAAAUCUAGUACCAGGUGUAGCACGUUAGUCUUUCAGUGUUCAAAGAAAGGGACUUUUUCUACCUCUCAACAAAGGUAUGAGAAUUAAGAAGAAAUAUAUGUGCAGCAUUUGAAAACUUACCCAUUGAACUAACAUUGUUAGGAAGUCUGGCAUUAGUGGUUCUGCUAGAUCUUGUGAAUUUUAGGGGGAAAUGACUUAAACUCAAUGCUGGCCUUAAAAGGGACCGAUAGUCUUGUAAGAGAAACUAGAGGGCAAGCAAAUGAAUCCUGAAUUCUGUGACAAUGGAUAAUGAAUGUUUUUAUAAUAAAAUGAUAACUGUGUUCUAGAUGCCUACUAAAACUGCAUUCUCUUUCUAAUGUUUGAGGUAGAUUCCAUUUUGUUUGGGUGCUGUGGAUUGAGCUCAGAAAGUAUGCAUGCUGAACAGGCACUCUACCACUGAGCUAUAUCCCAGGAAGGUAGACAUUCUUCUUCCCACCUAACAUUUGAUGUAACAAAGGCCCAGAAAACGUGUGUGCCUUGGUCAAGGUUGAUCAUCCCAGAAUGGUAAUUGAUAUUCAAAACAGCUGCCCUCAUCUCCACAUACUCACCAGAACCAGGAUCUCCUGGGGGUUUUCUUGAAGCAACUAGAAUAAAAGAUCCUGUUUGGAGAAGGGGUGCCAUGGUUAAUUGAGUGGUGUGGUGGCGAUUGUGUCAAUUUGGCUACGAGGGCACUGGUGGCGCGCUCUUAUGGGUGUGUCUGGGUAGGUGAUGGAGGCGUCAGUUUGGGUGUCUUGUCUGAUUCUCUGCUGUCCCCUGCUCCACUUCGCUGAUUCCAGGAGCUAAGAGCUUUGCUGUGCCACACUUUUCCACCACGAUGUCCCUGCCUUGGAGCCAGUGGAUCCUGUACUAAAUUCCCUGAAACUGUGUAUUCAAUGAAACCUCUCCUCCUUCAAGUGGUGGGUACUGGGGUCUGUGUCCCCAAAAUGGGAAAGCUAAUGUGAGGAGUUAACUCCAAAUACACAGUCCCUGCUUCUAUACUGGAUCUCAGUGACCAAGGCUGAAGAUGAAGUAGGUCUGGCAUCUAAUGAGGUCACAGUAGACCAUGGAAGUUUCCAGCACUCAGCCCCUCAAGCCCUGGCUAUGCCAGCUGUUAGAGGGAGAAAAAAAUCUAGACAUUCUGGUGCUUGAUGAUGUACCUCUUGUUACUUGAGACUGUGAAAACAUGAAAUUAUGUAAUGCUAAUUAAAGUACAAUGUGGCAGAACAGUUCCUUAUAAAAGACUAAAAAUAUAUUCAGUUAAAUGCAGUGAAACAAAACUUGACUGGGAUCUUCUGUGUUGCAGUGAUGGGAGCAGAAAGCACCAUGCAGCUCUGGGCUUCAGAGAAUUUUGCUGUGAAUGUAGCAAUACUUGGUGAAACUACUAUAAAAGGCCCUAUUCAACAUUCAUUUUAAAUGUCUUGGAUCAUAUCCUAGAAAGUAAUGUCUUCAAGUAAAAUUUUCCCACAUUUAAUGUUCCAAACACUUGAUUGCUAGAAAACUCUAUUAAGAAAUUUUACUGAAAAAUCAAACUUUUAGGACAAAGGUCAUGACAUUUUGUUGCCUGGCUCCAGAAUGAAAUAAUCUCUUAUUCUGGGUUCUCUGUUUAUACUGGGUUAGAAUACUUCACUUUGAAAUGAAUUUGGUUGUAGUUUUAAAAUAAAAAAGGACGUAAAGAAAACAGCCCCAAAUAUUUUUGUUGUUGUUAGACAUUACUUUUGAAAGAAUUUGAUUUUUUUCAGUAUUAAUGGUAAAGCAAUACUUAGAACUCGAGUAAAGGGUAAUAAUUCCAAAAAAAUGAUUAUAUUGCAUUUCAGUAGAAAUUCUACUUCUUACAACUCGCUCUAUCUCAGUCUCAGUCUCUAUUUCCUGAGUAAUGUUCCAUUUUUAUACUUAGCUAUGAUAUCUUAUUUUUCUAUAAUAUGUUCAUAUGACUUUUACUUUCAAGGAAGUCAAACAUAAGCUGAUUUACAUCCUGAGUUGAUACAUCUGUCUGUCUACAUUCCAAACAAAUGGAGAUCCAAGAAAAGGGCUAAGGCGUGCCGUCUCCGCCGCUGUGCUCUUAGGGCCCACGCCUUUCAAAACCAGAGCCUGCCAUCUCAGGAGGGAGCGGCGCCCAGGCCUCCAGCAAGCUGUCCGUGAUGUAGAACUCAAGAGACCAGACAGACCUCAGGAGGAACAGGAGGCUUGAUUUGGUUUUAGGUGAACACCAGUUCAGCAGUUCAGUUCAGCAGUUCAGACUCUUGUCCAAAACACUGAGCCCCAAACAAAGAAAGGCCCCAGGUUCGUCUUGUUGCUGAGGAUUGGCCUAGCAGCAUGUUACUGGGAAGGCAAACAAAGCAAAGCGGUUGGCUGAAGUGUGAGACCAGUGACCAUGGUCAGGUAUAACAGGGUGUUAGGGGAACAGAGGUUAUGAACAUUAUUCACAGAGUCACUGCUUCUAUCUGUAUCAGAACAAAGAACAACAGUUAUAGGGAGGGGGAUAUUUGGGAAAACGCAGCGUUUUCUUUUCAGGUCCUGCUUCUGCUGUUCUCCUGAGGAAAAUCUAUGUGUGGGUUUUGUGACCAUAAAGUUGUCCACGUGAAAUGAGAUCUUGUAGUAAUUUACUUUUUAUUUCCUUGAUAAAUUAAAAUGUUUCAGUUAACCAUCCCUUAGCAGAAAUGCCAAAGACAUUAAACAAUUACAAACAGCAUUCUGUAUUCACUUCUGUGGGGUCUGUACUGUGCCCAGGUAUCAAAGAAAAUACUGUCUUUGUUCCACAGAGUAAGAUACAUUCACUCAUUCAUACAAGCCAUUUGCAGACAUAAGUAUACCUUGUUUGUGUCUACGAAUGUGUGUGUGUGUUCAGUAAGAAUCCAAAUCAUAUCACACUUCUUUAAUUCUUAGUGUUUCUCUAUAUUCAGUCCAUGAGGAUGCUCUCAGAUAGACAGACCUGCCCUCUCUCAGAUUCAUAGAGUGCUUGGCAGCAUCAGUGCCAUCUGAACCUCCCAUUAAGUGUUUACACAAAGCAUGGGGCCAGAUGGGAUCAACCUCCAUUGAUCUUUCGGAGCUGAGUGCUAACCACACUGAAGAAGGCAGGAUGGGACCUGCCAUGCAGCCAAGAGAAGAUGGGGAUAUGCAAAAACAGCACCCCCAGCUGCAUACCACACCAGGGACAGGAGGGAGCAGAGUCUUAAACGGACAUGGCUUAUGCAUGGACAGCGAGAGAAAGCAAACCUGUCGAGAGGAGCCUGGUAUGCAAAAAACGGUUGUCCCUGUCACUCUGGGUACAGAGGACAGGAGUCCACAGGAGGAUGUUAAGCAAGGAAUUGGUACAAUCUGUUUGCAUCAUAGAAACUCUUCUGAGACGCAGAAGAGUCUAAAGAUGGGAAAGUCUUUUUGGAGUCUGUUGCAGUAGUCGGGGUCAUCUGAACUAAGGCCAAGAUGGAGGAACGGCAGACACAUGCAGUGGGCUUACUUUGGGACACUGUGGAAACACAAUGAAGCCAGAUGGGAAGAUCAUUUAAUUUUAAUUUUAGGAACAUCAUUUUUGGCUGCUAAGUGGGUAUAAGUACACCACUUUAAAAAUUAAAAACAGGAUGAAAUGAGACACUUGCACUCUUACACUCUUCAGAUCUCUUUGGUUUUGGAGAGUUUGUUUUUGUUUUUGCUUUUGUCUUGUCUAUUUGAAACAAGGUCUCAGGCUGGGCUUGAACUUACUAUGGAGCCCAAGCUGGCUGUGAACUUUACAACAAUCUUCCUGCCUCAACCUCUGAAGCACUAGGAUUACAGGUAUGCUACCAUAUCUGACUCCUUAAGAUCUCCUAUUAAGGGGCUGGGGAUUUAGCUCAGCGGCAUAAGCACCUGCCUUGCAAGCAGGCGGUCGUGAGUUCGAUCCCCGGUACCGAUAAAAAUGAAAAAGACAAAAAAAAAAAAGAUCUCCUGUUAAAUGUCACCUUAUCAGAGAUUAUCUGAGGUAGUAUCUUACAUCUUUUCUUUCUCUAAUACUGUUAUUAUUUUCUUGAUAGGAUUGAUCACCAUAUGUAAUCAUUUAUGUAUGUAUUGCCUCUCUUCAUUAAAAUACAAGGUCCAGGCCAGGGAUUUCGCUCAGCAGCGUAAGUGUCUGCCUGGCAAACACUAGGUCAUGAGUUUGAUCCCUGGUACAAAAAAAAAAAAAAAAAGAAAAGAAAAGAAAAUACAAGGUCCAGGAAAAUACUUAGUUUUGUUCAAUGUCCCCAGAACUUAAAAGAGUGUCCAGUGCAUAGUAGUAUAUUACAAAUACUUUUAUCUGAAUGACUAAUAUAAAAUGACAGGUACAUGAGUCCUGUCAUCCUAUCUGUCCAUCUAUCUAUCACCUCUGUGUAUCUACCUAUCCAUCCAUCUGCCUGAUCAAAGGAGUUACAGUAGUAGUGAUAACGUUACUAAGACUAAUAGUAGUUGAUUUACUACUAACUAUUCAAGUCUACAGCAAUACCACCCUGAACGCAACUGGUUUCAUCUAACUAUUCAAACACCAUGUAAAUGACUUUUCUUUCUUUCUUUUUUGUAAAUGACUUUUAUAGCUUUCUUAUUUUGUCAGAAUGUUAUGAGAUAAACAGUCAAUAUUACUAAUUCUUUUAGGUGAUUAAAUUAAUAGGUAACAACAUAGUUGAUGAAAGGAAGAGAAGAAAUAUUUAUGACUCAUGGUUUCUGGCAGAGGCAUUUAAUAGAUGGAUGAGCCAUUACUGAGAUAAGGAGCACAAAAGAAAGAAACCAUCCAGCAGGAAAAGAUAGCAGAUACUUUUGUGCAUACUGAGCUGGAAGGAUCAUUGGAUAACUAUGGAGAUUUCUAGCACGUCAUUAGGAGCGUGAACCUUGGCACUGCAGGGACAUCUUGGCAAGAGAUAAAAAUAAUGAGUCACUUGCAUGCAGGUAGAAACUGAUACUGUGGAGGCUACUGACUAUGAAAUCGAGGUGAAGCAGAGGAGACUUCAAUUAUUUCCACAGAAGGUUGUGGGGGCUAAGGAUGAGGAGCCCCUAUAUUAGGGAAACAAUCAAGGAAGAGUGGCCUCUGUAAACCAGCCUAGUCUUUUGUGGGUACUUCUAGGAUAGAUGGAGAUCCCUGAAGUUCAUGUGUUGUUAGGAAGAUUCUUGAAGAGAAGUGUGUGAACCAGGAAGCCAGAGAAAGAUGAUCCAAGAGGCAGCAAAGAAGCUGACCAUUUCCCUGGACCUGAAGGUCCUGGUCCUCUGCGCAGCUGAUUGACUCACCCCCCUGACUCUAUAAAAAAAAAAAUACCCUGACGACAAGACGUGGCCCACCACAUGGAAAGUACUGAAAAAUGCUGUUAUCAACUGAAGUUGUGAAAGUCACAGAUUGGCUCUGGGGACCCUGCUGUUCCUGCUGUGAACCUGACUGUUAUUUCAUACACUCCAGUACUUUCUCAGGGCUUCCAAAUGCCCCUCUGACCAGAGAGGUUAAGGAACAAACUAAAACCAGCUCUCAGUGUCAGAAGCUCAGCUUAGUGAACCCUGGGACUUUGAAGAAGGCUCUGGACAGAGGUGACCUCUUGUAUUUAAGAACUUCUGAGCACCCACGGCUGACCUUUGCCCACCCCGACCCUGUGAUACUAGGCAUUUCACCUGUACCUCUCAGCCCUUUGUUUUUUGCUUUGAGACACGAUUUCACUAAGUCAUUAAAUUACCUACACUGGGCUAGAACUUGCAACCCUCCUGACUCAACCUCUCAGAGAGCAGAUAUUACAAGCAUGCACCCCCAUGCCUUGUUCUGAGCCCCUAUUUUCCAAUAUCAAAAGCCCUUUCUGCACAUAUGCUGAGGAUUUCACUUAGGCUGGGGCUGUGUCAGCAUACGAAAAGAAAAAAGAAAAACUAUUUUUUUAUUUUUAUAUUAAAUAUAUGCUGCAUAACUUCUGGUGGCCUUAAAAUUAUUGUGUGAAAGAAAUUUUAAUAUGCUAGGGUUUAUAAUAAAAUCAUUAUUACUGUUGUAA